UACGUAGGCAGCAAGCGUUGUUCGGAGUUACUGGGCGUAAAGAGUGCGUAGGCGGUCUAGCAAGUUCGGUGUGAAAUCUCCCGGCUUAACUGGGAGGGUGCGCCGAAGACUGUUGGGCUGGAGUAUGGGAGAGGCAGGCGGAAUUCCUGGUGUAGCGGUGAAAUGCGUAGAUAUCAGGAGGAGCACCGGUGGUGUAGGCGGCUUGCUGGACCAUAACUGACGCUGAGGCACGAAAGCGUGGGGAGCAAACAGG
RNAcentral lists this ribosomal RNA (253 nucleotides) under uncultured prokaryote. RNAcentral's name for it is "partial 16S ribosomal RNA". It matches the Rfam family "Bacterial small subunit ribosomal RNA", at positions 524 to 776 of the family's 1533-position model. The record is from RNAcentral.